AGAGUUUGAUUCUGGCUCAGGAUGAACGCUGGCGGCGUGCUUAACACAUGCAAGUCGAACGAAGCACCUUAUCCGACGAAAUGGAGUACUUGUACAAAGUGGAGUCAACCGAGGUGACUGAGUGGCGGACGGGUGAGUAACGCGUGGGUAACCUACCUUAUACCGGGGGAUAACAGUUAGAAAUGACUGCUAAUACCGCAUAAGCGCACAGUAUCGCAUGAUACAGUGUGAAAAACUGAGGUGAUAUAAGAUGGACCCGCGUCUGAUUAGAUAGUUGGUGAGGUAACGGCUCACCAAGUCAACGAUCAGUAGCCGGCCUGAGAGGGUGAACGGCCACAUUGGGACUGAGACACGGCCCAAACUCCUACGGGAGGCAGCAGUGGGGAAUAUUGGACAAUGGGGGAAACCCUGAUCCAGCGACGCCGCGUGAGUGAAGAAGUAUUUCGGUAUGUAAAGCUCUAUCAGCAGGGAAGAAAAUGACGGUACCUGACUAAGAAGCCCCGGCUAACUACGUGCCAGCAGCCGCGGUAAUACGUAGGGGGCAAGCGUUAUCCGGAUUUACUGGGUGUAAAGGGAGCGUAGACGGUAUGGUAAGUCAGAUGUGAAAGGUGGGGGCUCAACCCCCAAACUGCAUUUGAAACUAUCAGACUAGAGUGUCGGAGAGGUAAGUGGAAUUCCUAGUGUAGCGGUGAAAUGCGUAGAUAUUAGGAGGAACACCAGUGGCGAAGGCGGCUUACUGGACGAUAACUGACGUUGAGGCUCGAAAGCGUGGGGAGCACAACAGGAAGGGAUACCCUGGUAGUCCACGCCGUAAACG
RNAcentral lists this ribosomal RNA (817 nucleotides) under uncultured bacterium. Its description in RNAcentral is "bacterial SSU rRNA". It matches the Rfam family "Bacterial small subunit ribosomal RNA", at positions 8 to 808 of the family's 1533-position model. The record is from RNAcentral.